RNAcentral lists this ribosomal RNA (430 nucleotides) under uncultured bacterium. Its description in RNAcentral is "bacterial SSU rRNA". It matches the Rfam family "Bacterial small subunit ribosomal RNA", at positions 353 to 798 of the family's 1533-position model. The record is from RNAcentral.
AUUGGGGAAUUUUCCGCAAUGGGCGAAAGCCUGACGGAGCAACGCCGCGUGAGGGAUGAAGGCCUCUGGGCUGUAAACCUCUUUUAUCAAGGAAGAAGAUCUGACGGUACUUGAUGAAUAAGCCACGGCUGAUUCCGUGCCAGCAGCCGCGGUAAUACGGGAGUGGCAAGCGUUAUCCGGAAUUAUUGGGCGUAAAGCGUCCGCAGGCGGCCCUUCAAGUCUGCUGUUAAAAAGUGGAGCUUAACUCCAUCAUGGCAGUGGAAACUGUUGGGCUUGAGUGUGGUAGGGGCAGAGGGAAUUCCCGGUGUAGCGGUGAAAUGCGUAGAUAUCGGGAAGAACACCAGUGGCGAAGGCGCUCUGCUGGGCCAUCACUGACGCUCAUGGACGAAAGCCAGGGGAGCGAAAGGGAUUAGAUACCCCUGUAGUCAAU